AGUUUGGUGGUUUCGUAGUAUGAUUCUCGCUUAGGGAAAAUCUAUGCAAAAAUAUGCAAUAGGUCCCGGGUUCAAUCCCCUGCCAAACCC
Non-coding RNA from Durotheca rogersii, 90 nucleotides. Lineage: Eukaryota; Fungi; Ascomycota; Sordariomycetes; Xylariales; Xylariaceae. The record is from the annotation of a RefSeq genome assembly.